Molecule: long non-coding RNA, 213 nt
Organism: Cololabis saira (Pacific saury)
Lineage: Eukaryota; Metazoa; Chordata; Actinopteri; Beloniformes; Belonidae
Exons: 4
Source: RefSeq, a predicted model, not a curated record
GUUGCAGCAGCAGCAGCAGCAGCAACGUGGUGGUGGUUUUUGGCGGGAUGGAAAGUCCGAACCAAACGGAUCUGCAAAGGUCUUGAACUGAGUCAGUGAAAAUGCCGGCUGCAGCUAAAUCAGGUAUGGAUCUUCUCUUUUUUUCACCUCACAUGUUUCUGGAAGUCAUAACUGUUAUUGCUCUGAAAUAAAUAAAAAGAAAAUUGAAGUGGU